RNAcentral lists this ribosomal RNA (150 nucleotides) under uncultured Comamonas sp. RNAcentral describes it as "partial 16S ribosomal RNA". It matches the Rfam family "Bacterial small subunit ribosomal RNA", at positions 313 to 462 of the family's 1533-position model. Lineage: Bacteria; Pseudomonadati; Pseudomonadota; Betaproteobacteria; Burkholderiales; Comamonadaceae. The record is from RNAcentral.
CUGCGACUGAGACACGGCCCAGACUCCUACGGGAGGCAGCAGUGGGGAAUUUUGGACAAUGGGCGAAAGCCUGAUCCAGCAAUGCCGCGUGCAGGAUGAAGGCCCUCGGGUUGUAAACUGCUUAUGUACGGAACGAAAAGCCUGCGGCUA